UAAACCCGCCCCUCUGCACUCCACUUCAUGCCUGGGAGCGGGCAAAAGAAAGGAGAAAUCCGCCUUGUUCAGCGGUGCGGCAGUGUGGAGACCUGUCGCAAAGCCCGGAGGACGAACCCGCUUUCGGGCGAGACGGGGAUGCGGAGGCAGACCCGUUAUGAGCAAAAUCGAUGGCA
This 176-nucleotide non-coding RNA is filed under the name unclassified sequences. RNAcentral's name for it is "malK-I RNA". It matches the Rfam family "malK-I RNA". The record is from RNAcentral.